Molecule: ribosomal RNA, 465 nt
Filed under: uncultured bacterium
Lineage: Bacteria
Description: partial 16S ribosomal RNA
Rfam family: Bacterial small subunit ribosomal RNA
Source: RNAcentral
GACGAACGCUGGCGGCGUGCUUAACACAUGCAAGUCGAACGGAAAGGCCCUGCUUGCAGGGUACUCGAGUGGCGAACGGGUGAGUAACACGUGGGUGAUCUGCCCUGCACUUCGGGAUAAGCCUGGGAAACUGGGUCUAAUACCGGAUAGGAGCCAUUUUGAGUGUGAUGGUUGGAAAGUUUUUUCGGUGUAGGAUGAGCUCGCGGCCUAUCAGCUUGUUGGUGGGGUAAUGGCCUACCAAGGCGGCGACGGGUAGCCGGCCUGAGAGGGGGGACGGCCACCUUGGGACUGAGAGACGGCCCAGACUCCUACGGGAGGCAGCAGUGGGGAAGAUUGCACAAGGGGCGCAAGCCUGAUGCAGCGACGCCGCGUGGGGGAUGACGGCCUUCGGGUUGUAAACUCCUUUCGCUAGGGACGAAGCUUUGUGUGACGGUACCUAGAGAAGAAGCACCGGCUAACUACGUG